GUACAGUANNNNNNNGCGGAAUUCGUGGUGUAGCGGUGAAAUGCUUAGAUAUCACGAAGAACUCCGAUUGCGAAGGCAGCUCACUGGACUGCAACUGACACUGAUGCUCGAAAGUGUGGGUAUCAAACAGGAUUAGAUACCCUGGUAGUCCACACAGUAAACGAUGAAUACUCGCUGUUUGCGAUAUACAGUAAGCGGCCAAGCGAAAGCAUUAAGUAUUCCACCUGGGGAGUACGCCGGCAACGGUGAAACUCAAAGGAAUUGACGGGGGCCCGCACAAGCGGAGGAACAUGUGGUUUAAUUCGAUGAUACGCGAGGAACCUUACCCGGGCUUAAAUUGCAGUGGAAUGAUGUGGAAACAUGUCAGUGAGCAAUUACCGCUGUGAAGGUGCUGCAUGGUUGUCGUCAGCUCGUGCCGUGAGGUGUCGGCUUAAGUGCCAUAACGAGCGCAACCCUUAUCUUCAGUUACUAACAGGUCAUGCUGAGGACUCUGGAGAGACUGCCGUCGUAAGAUGUGAGGAAGGUGGGGAUGACGUCAAAUCAGCACGGCCCUUACGUCCGGGGCUACACACGUGUUACAAUGGGGGGUACAGAAGGCAGCUAGCGGGUGACCGUAUGCUAAUCCCAAAAUCCUCUCUCAGUUCGGAUCGAAGUCUGCAACCCGACUUCGUGAAGCUGGAUUCGCUAGUAAUCGCGCAUCAGCCACGGCGCGGUGAAUACGUUCCCGGGCCUUGUACACACCGCCCGUCAAGCCAUGGGAGCCGGGGGUACCUGAAGUACGUAACCGCAAGGAUCGUCCUAGGGUAAAACUGGUGACUGGGGCUAAGUCGUAACAAGGUAACCA
This 844-nucleotide ribosomal RNA is filed under the name uncultured bacterium. RNAcentral describes it as "bacterial SSU rRNA". It matches the Rfam family "Bacterial small subunit ribosomal RNA", at positions 646 to 1502 of the family's 1533-position model. The record is from RNAcentral.